UACAGAGGGGGCAAGCGUUGUUCGGAAUUACUGGGCGUAAAGGGCGCGUAGGCGGCCUUCUAAGUCGAACGUGAAAUCCCCGGGCUCAACCCGGGAACUGCGUCCGAUACUGGAAGGCUUGAAUCCGGGAGAGGGAUGCGGAAUUCCAGGUGUAGCGGUGAAAUGCGUAGAUAUCUGGAGGAACACCGGUGGCGAAGGCGGCAACCUGGUCCUUGACUGACGCUGAGGCGCGAAAGCGUGGGGAGCAAACAGG
This 253-nucleotide ribosomal RNA is filed under the name uncultured bacterium. RNAcentral describes it as "partial 16S ribosomal RNA". It matches the Rfam family "Bacterial small subunit ribosomal RNA", at positions 524 to 776 of the family's 1533-position model. The record is from RNAcentral.